GAUGAACGCUAGCGGCGUGCCUAAUACAUGCAAGUCGAGCGAACGGACGAGAAGCUUGCUUCUCUGAUGUUAGCGGCGGACGGGUAAGUAACACGUGGAUAACCUACCUAUAAGACUGGGAUAACUUCGGGAAACCGGAGCUAAUACCGGAUAAUAUUUUGAACCGCAUGGUUCAAAAGUGAAAGACGGUCUUGCUGUCGCUUAUAGAUGGAUCCGCGCUGCAUUAGCUAGUUGGUAAGGUAACGGCUUACCAAGGCAACGAUGCAUAGCCGACCUGAGAGGGUGAUCGGCCACACUGGAACUGAGACACGGUCCAGACUCCUACGGGAGGCAGCAGUAGGGAAUCUUCCGCAAUGGGCGAAAGCCUGACGGAGCAACGCCGCGUGAGUGAUGAAGGUCUUCGGAUCGUAAAACUCUGUUAUUAGGGAAGAACAUAUGUGUAAGUAACUGUGCACAUCUUGACGGUACCUAAUCAGAAAGCCACGGCUAACUACGUG
RNAcentral lists this ribosomal RNA (497 nucleotides) under uncultured bacterium. RNAcentral's name for it is "partial 16S ribosomal RNA". It matches the Rfam family "Bacterial small subunit ribosomal RNA", at positions 28 to 507 of the family's 1533-position model. The record is from RNAcentral.